Non-coding RNA from Callithrix jacchus (white-tufted-ear marmoset), 1972 nucleotides. The record is from RefSeq and is a predicted model, not a curated record. NCBI's taxonomy places the organism in Eukaryota, Metazoa, Chordata, Mammalia, Primates, Cebidae.
AAAAGCAGCGCAGGGCAGAGCAGGCAGGGAGGGCGGCCGGAGCCCGGACACGGGAGCCUCCCAGUCAGUUCAAGACCCGACAUGAGGGAAAAGGGACGUAGGAAGAAGGGCAGGACCUGGGCGGAGGCCGCCAAGACGGCAGGAGUGCAGUGGCUUCACAUGUAUGAUCGUGGUAUACUACAGCCUUGAACUUCUGGGCUCAAGUGAUCAUCCUGUCCAGGCUUCCCAAGUAGCUGGGACUACAGAGACGGGUCUCACCAAGUUUUUCAGGCUGGUCUCCAACUCCUAGACUCAAGCGAUCUGCCUGCCUCGGCCUCCCAGAGUGUUAGGAUUACAGGUGUGAACCACUGCACCUUGCCUGCAUUGACUUUAGGAUUAUGUUCAAAGUUACGCUCAUUAAAAAGGAAGAUGAAUCGUCUAAAUAUUUGAUUACAUCCCGAGGAUUUUAGCAGUUUUUGCAAAGCAAAACUUUGAAAAUAGCAGUCUUAUCCAACUUGUUUACUUUUUGACUUUUCCCUCCUUACCCAUCGCUGGAGAAGCGUUACAAGGCAAAAGAGUUCCAAAAGGACAAAUGUUAUGUGUGUGAUGGUAGGUGGAAGAGAUGGAGAGGCAGACUUUAGAGAUUAUACACUGAAGGGACGUUGGGUAUUUUUUUGGGAGGAAAGUGAUGAAACAUAUGAGAAACAAGGUGUGGGUGUUAGAGAUGAGGAAUAUAACCUGUAGUUUAGAUCUUUGGAAUAUAAUUUGUAGACUAAAGAAAAAGUUUUUUUUUUUUUUUAAUUUAUGUAGACUUGAUUCCUUGGUUAAUAUUUUGAAUGUAUACAAUAUUUUAGUUUUUGUCAUUUACCUUAUUUAAUUUUAGGGAAUAAGGUAAAAGAAAAUUUCCAUUAAAGGGAUGACAUUGGUAGGCUAAUUACUUUGAGCUAGGCAGUGUAGAAAAUGGAAAUAUUAUUUUCUGAGAUGGAGUCUCACUCUGUUGCCCAGGUUGGAGUGCAAUGGUGCUAUCUUGGCUCACUGCAACCUCCACCUCCCGGAUUCAAGCGAUUCUUCCGCCCCAGCCCUCCAAGUAGCUGAGAUUAUCACGCCUGGCCAAUUUUUAUUAUACAAACUUUAGAAAGUAAAACUGGGCAGAAUCUUGGCUCAUGGAUAUAUAAAAAUUGGUGAGAAAGCAUUAUCAGUGGCAUGCGCUAAACCUUGAGAAACUGAGAGCUAAGCUAUCAGGACGCAAAGGCCUAAGAAUGAUAGAAUGGACUUUGGGGACUCUGGGUGGGGGAAGGGUGGGAGGGGGUGAGGGAUAAAAGACUACACAUUGGGUACAGUGUGCACUGAUCAGGUGAUGGGUACACCAGAAUCUCAGAAAUCACCACUAAAGAACUUAUCCAUGUAACCAAACACUUACCUGUUCCCCAAAAAGUAUUGGGGGGGAAAAAAGAACUUAUAACCCCCCACAAGAGCCAAUACAUUGAGACUUCUGGGAAAAAAUUCUUCUGAGAAACCAUCUGGGCCCAGUCCUUUUUGAUGAGCCAAUUCCUUGAUAAUUUUGUGUAUUUCUUCUGUGGAGCUUAGUUUGCCUAACAUCCUCUCUCUAUGAGGUUCAAUUUUAGUAAAUUGUAUUUUCAUUAACAAUUAUCCAUAUGAUAUAGAUUCUCAAAUUUAUUUGCCUAAAGCUGUGGAAAAUCUCUUAGAAUUUAAAAUUUUCUCUCUUUAUAGUUAUUUUUCCCUUAUUGAUGCUUACUUUGUGUAUUUGUAUUACUAUCUUUUUUUUUAAUUAAUAUUGCUAGUGGUUCUUUUUGUGCAGUUUUUUUUUUCUCCAAAGAAAAGGAUUUUGUUUAUGAAUUGUUUUUUUAUUCUCUGACCUCAGUAGUUCACUUGAACCUUUACAGUUUAACUUUUAGGCUCUGUUUUGGUUUCCUUUGUUACCUUUCUAGCUAUUUGAGUUGAGAAUUUAUUUACUUUAUUUUUUAUUUUUUUU